Schistosoma rodhaini is the source of this 46-nucleotide non-coding RNA. The record is from Rfam. Lineage: Eukaryota; Metazoa; Platyhelminthes; Trematoda; Strigeidida; Schistosomatidae.
GCACUGCUGAAGAGUCUCACAAUAGGACGAAACGGCUGUGCAAUGC